GUCUGGAUGCCUCCGGCGCAUCGACCCUCCCCGUCCCUGCUCGCUCCUCCACCCGGAGGCACCCACUGAGCCGCCCCUCCUCACCUCGUCCACACACGCGCUGCGCUGCAGGGAGUCCAACGUUCAAGAACAGAGCUGCUGUAUACGCGAUCCCUGUGUACACAUCACACUGGAAUGACCAUGAAGAAGGAAACAAUAAGCCAAACAGACUUCAACCAAGGGGACAGGCACCCGCACUCCAUGCUAGUUAUUUCUAGCGCCUCCUUAGAGAGGAGCUCCGGGCCACCCGAGGGAAAGCCUCCUCUCUCAGAAAGGGGACAGCUUCUCUGCAGUUUCUACAAAGUGCCCACACAGGACUCGGGAGAGCCAUUAAACAGCUCUUUCCUCAAGGUGAGAACUAGUGGUCCAACUAUGAAGACACGGGAAUCUGAUUUCCGUCAUCUAACAUCUUCCUGGGUUUCCAGCUAGCUCAGACUAUCAACUGAUAGUUAUCACAUCAAGGAACUACUGGUGUAAGACAAAGGAAAGAAGACUUCCCAACUCUGAUGGGUCAUAGUGGCCUAUGUUAUUUCCAAUAAGAAAACACAGAACCCUAAGAAGCAAUAAAUGGCCAGGUUGUGGGCUUGAUCCCCAGUGUGGGGCGUACAGGAGGCAGCCUAUCAAUGAUUCUCUCUCAUCACUGAUGUUUCUACUUCUCUCUCCCUCUCCCUUCCUCUCUUAGAUCAAUAAAAACAUAUUUUUAAAAAAAAAAACACACAUAAGAAUUUUGAACAAGAAAAACAGACUGAAGUUCUGAAUGUGACAUUCUAAAGACACAUGUGGAACCUGACGUACAAUGUGAAAUGUAAUUACAAUCAAAGCUGGGGUUUUUGCCCAGAGUUCUUCUCCACAAUACCUGUGCACUGUAUACCCAGGUUCUUUAAAACGUGAAUAAUAUUAGUGUGUUAACAUGCAUAAGUAUUUAACAAACUUAAUAUAAUUUUCUGUAAUCUGCUUGAAAUACAAUAGCUAAGGCAAAUGGGAAAGUUAUCACUGCUUUUAGGUAAUUCCCAUAUUAUAUUUCUACUUACCUGUA
Molecule: long non-coding RNA, 1075 nt
Organism: Myotis myotis
Lineage: Eukaryota; Metazoa; Chordata; Mammalia; Chiroptera; Vespertilionidae
Exons: 4
Source: RefSeq, a predicted model, not a curated record